CAUCUAAAAAAAAUUUCAGCAUCUGCAAGUCUCUAUGUCCACCUAAAAUGCUUUUCAGCACCCGUUUAUAAUUUUCUCUGCAAGUAAAACUGUUAUACAAGGCCAUAGAAAAACAGUCAUGUCAAUGAUUUCCAAUUGUGUGGUUUCUUAUUAACCUAAUGAAAUUUCCUUUCUCCACAUACUUUACAGACCUCCAGCAUAUUUUACUCCUCUUUUUUUUAAAUGCUGAGGCACAGCUCUACACUCCCUUGUUUUUUAACAUGCUAGAUGAUCUGAACAUACUGAACCUUGUUUGAAAGACCAGUUAUGCCAUGCAAUUCGGUCAUGCCUUCCAUGCUGUCUUUAAGGCAUAGCAUAAUGCUGAGUGCUGGAAUAAAGCUGUCUUUGAAUUAAGACAAAGGAAUAUAGCAUUUUCUCAACAAAAAAAAUACCCUCCAGAAAUCCAGUAUUUUCAUAUACAAAUCAUUCUCAACAUGCUUAUCAGGAUUUUGAAAGUCCUUUUGAAUGAGGCCCAUAGUCUGCAAAGUCACUGGGUGGUGGAAUGGAGAGUUUGCCCCUGGUGUGCCUGAAAUACAGGAUGAAGAAGUUACUUCACUCCCACUGCUAAUCGGGGACCCUGCCUACUCACUGCAUCUCUGGUAUAUGAAGCCUUUCACUGGGUGCCUGGAUGCUCACAAGGAUUUAUUUAACUACCAGCUUAGCAACCGGAAGAAUGGGUGUGGAGUGUGCUUUCAGGUACCUCAAGGCUUGCUGGAGGUGCCUGAGGACAUGCAUGGCAGCCAGCAACUACAAUGAGCCCUGGUUUGUGGUCCUUGCAUUUGUUCUGUGCAAUGUCUGUGAGGCCAAGGGGGAGACCCUGCCAAACAGUGCAAGAUUUUGCUAGUCAAGGUACAGCAGCCCAUGGCUCCUACAAAUGAUGUGCAAGUGGAUUCUCAAAACAUGGUCUCCCAUGACAAGAGCAAUGUCUGUUCUUUGCCUCCAAGAAUCAUAUUUGUGUAGGUAAGAAACUGUAACCAUCAUGCUAGAAACAAAGUCACUUUUGUUAUAAUAAAUACUAUCCAUCUGGACUUACCAAGGAAAGGUGGAACUCAGCAUACUGUUUUUUCUACAUCUUACACUUGUAUUAUAAUUUAGUUUUAUUAUGAAAUCAAGCUUUCUGAUGCCAUGAGCCAGAUAAACCUGGAUAAAUUAGUAUUACAGUUAA
Molecule: long non-coding RNA, 1204 nt
Organism: Alligator mississippiensis (American alligator)
Lineage: Eukaryota; Metazoa; Chordata; Crocodylia; Alligatoridae
Exons: 3
Source: RefSeq, a predicted model, not a curated record